UGGGGAAUAUUGCACAAUGGGGGAAACUCUGAUGCAGCGACGCCGCGUGAGUGAAGAAGUAUUUCGGUAUGUAAAGCUCUAUCAGCAGGGAAGAAAAUGACGGUACCUGACUAAGAAGCACCGGCUAAAUACGUGCC
Molecule: ribosomal RNA, 137 nt
Filed under: uncultured bacterium
Lineage: Bacteria
Description: partial 16S ribosomal RNA
Rfam family: Bacterial small subunit ribosomal RNA
Source: RNAcentral